Molecule: ribosomal RNA, 429 nt
Filed under: bacterium
Lineage: Bacteria
Description: partial 16S ribosomal RNA
Rfam family: Bacterial small subunit ribosomal RNA
Source: RNAcentral
UAGGGAAUCUUCCACAAUGGACGCAAGUCUGAUGGAGCAACGCCGCGUGAGUGAAGAAGGUUUUCGGAUCGUAAAGCUCUGUUGUUGGUGAAGAAGGAUAGAGGCAGUAACUGGUCUUUAUUUGACGGUAAUCAACCAGAAAGUCACGGCUAACUACGUGCCAGCAGCCGCGAUAAUACGUAGGUGGCAAGCGUUGUCCGGAUUUAUUGGGCGUAAAGCGAGCGCAGGCGGAAUGAUAAGUCUGAUGUGAAAGCCCACGGCUCAACCGUGGAACUGCAUCGGAAACUGUCAUUCUUGAGUGCAGAAGAGGAGAGUGGAAUUCCAUGUGUAGCGGUGGAAUGCGUAGAUAUAUGGAAGAACACCAGUGGCGAAGGCGGCUCUCUGGUCUGCAACUGACGCUGAGGCUCGAAAGCAUGGGUAGCGAACAGG